This 497-nucleotide ribosomal RNA is filed under the name uncultured bacterium. RNAcentral's name for it is "partial 16S ribosomal RNA". It matches the Rfam family "Bacterial small subunit ribosomal RNA", at positions 28 to 507 of the family's 1533-position model. The record is from RNAcentral.
GAUGAACGCUGGCGGCGUGCCUAAUACAUGCAAGUCGAGCGAACAGACGAGGAGUUUGCUCCUCUGACGUUAGCGGCGGACGGGUGAGUAACACGUGGAUAACCUACCUAUAAGACUGGGAUAACUUCGGGAAACCGGAGCUAAUACCGGAUAAUAUAUUGAACCGCAUGGUUCAAUAGUGAAAGACGGUUUUGCUGUCACUUAUAGAUGGAUCCGCGCCGCAUUAGCUAGUUGGUAAGGUAACGGCUUACCAAGGCAACGAUGCGUAGCCGACCUGAGAGGGUGGUCGGCCACACUGGAACUGAGACCCGCUCCAGACUCCUACGGGAGGCAGCAGUAGGGCAUCUUCCGCAAUGGGCGAAAACCUGACGGAGCAACGCCGCGUGAUUGAUGAAGGUCUUCGGAUCGUAAAACUCUGUUAUUAGGGAAGAACAAAUGUGUAAGUAACUAUGCACGUCUUGACGGUACCUAAUCAGAAAGCCACGGCUAACUACGUG